This 447-nucleotide ribosomal RNA is filed under the name uncultured bacterium. RNAcentral describes it as "bacterial SSU rRNA". It matches the Rfam family "Bacterial small subunit ribosomal RNA", at positions 355 to 825 of the family's 1533-position model. The record is from RNAcentral.
UCGGGAAUUUUGGGCAAUGGGGGAAACCCUGACCCAGCAACGCCGCGUGAAGGAUGAAGUAUUUCGGUAUGUAAACUUCGAAAGAAUAGGAAGAAUAAAUGACGGUACUAUUUAUAAGGUCCGGCUAACUACGUGCCAGCAGCCGCGGUAAUACGUAGGGACCAAGCGUUGUUCGGAUUUACUGGGCGUAAAGGGCGCGUAGGCGGCAUGACAAGUCACUUGUGAAAUCUCUGGGCUUAACCCAGAACGGCCAAGUGAUACUGUCGCGCUAGAGCGCAGAGGGGGCAAUCGGAAUUCUUGGUGUAGCGGUGAAAUGCGUAGAUAUCAAGAGGAACACCUGAGGCGAAGGCGAGUUGCUAGGCUGACACUGACGCUGAGGUACGAAAGCUAGGGGAGCGAACGGGAUUAGAUACCCGCGUAGUCCCUGAGCGGGCUGGCAAGGCGCAU